RNAcentral lists this ribosomal RNA (629 nucleotides) under Malbranchea zuffiana. RNAcentral describes it as "eukaryotic LSU rRNA". It matches the Rfam family "Eukaryotic large subunit ribosomal RNA", at positions 1 to 669 of the family's 3401-position model. The record is from RNAcentral. Lineage: Eukaryota; Fungi; Ascomycota; Eurotiomycetes; Onygenales; Malbrancheaceae.
UCUAGGCCCCGUCAGGAGCCCGAGUUGUAAUUUGGAGAGGACACUUCGGGUGCCCCAGUAACGGCGAGUGAAGCGGCAAAAGCUCAAUUUGAAAUCUGGCUCCUUCCGGGGUCCGAGUUGUAAUUUGCAGAGGAUGCUUUGGGUGCACCCGCGGCGUAAGUCCCUUGGAACAGGGCGUCAUAGAGGGUGAGAAUCCCGUCUUGAGUCGCUGGCGUGUGCCCGUGCAAAGCUCCUUCGACGAGUCGAGUUGUUUGGGAAUGCAGCUCUAAUUGGGUGGUAAAUUUCAUCUAAAGCUAAAUACUGGCCGGAGACCGAUAGCGAACAAGUAGAGUGAUCGAAAGGUUAAAAGCACCUUGAAAAGGGAGUUAAAUAGCACGUGAAAUUGUUGAAAGGGAAGCGCUUGCAGCCAGACUCGGGCGCGGAGGCUCAGCGGGCAUGUUUGCCCGUGUACUCCUUCGCGCCCGGGCCAGCAUCGGUUUUGGCGGCCGGUCAAAGGCCCCCGGAAUGUGUCGUCCUCCGGGACGUCUUAUAGCCGGGGGUGCAAUGCGGCCAGCCGGGACCGAGGAACGCGCUUCGGCACGGAUGCUGGCGUAAUGGCUGUAAGCGGCCCGUCUUGAAACACGGGACCA